AUUGAACGCUGGCGGCAUGCCUUACACAUGCAAGUCGAACGGUAACAGGUUAAGCUGACGAGUGGCGAACGGGUGAGUAAUGUAUCGGAACGUGCCAGUCGUGGGGGAUAACUGCUCGAAAGAGCAGCUAAUACCGCAUACGACCUGAGGGUGAAAGCGGGGGAUCGCAAGACCUCGCGCGAUUGGAGCGGCCGAUAUCAGAUUAGGUAGUUGGUGAGGUAAAGGCUCACCAAGCCGACGAUCUGUAGCUGGUCUGAGAGGACGACCAGCCACACUGGGACUGAGACACGGCCCAGACUCCUACGGGAGGCAGCAGUGGGGAAUUUUGGACAAUGGGCGCAAGCCUGAUCCAGCCAUGCCGCGUGCGGGAAGAAGGCCUUCGGGUUGUAAACCGCUUUUGUCAGGGAAGAAAAGGUUCUGGCUAAUACCUGGGACUCAUGACGGUACCUGAAGAAUAAGCACCGGCUAACUACGU
This 475-nucleotide ribosomal RNA is filed under the name uncultured bacterium. RNAcentral describes it as "partial 16S ribosomal RNA". It matches the Rfam family "Bacterial small subunit ribosomal RNA", at positions 30 to 506 of the family's 1533-position model. The record is from RNAcentral.